CCGAUGUUACAUCUAUCAGAUCAUGACCCACUAAGGAGACUACACUAGACUCCAAGCAUUCGCUUCUACUCAACUCAUUUCUCGUUACCUGAAAAAUAGUUGUAAGGGUGAGUUCCUCAAUCGAUAUAAUAAGCAUUAUAAAAUAUAAUGUCAUGUUAAGUAAUUUAACACAUUAAUCACCCUAAUCGCAACAUACAAUCAGUAACAG
This 208-nucleotide long non-coding RNA is filed under the name Lathyrus oleraceus (garden pea). RNAcentral describes it as "Pisum sativum (pea) long non-coding RNA (PSAT_LNC042314)". Lineage: Eukaryota; Viridiplantae; Streptophyta; Magnoliopsida; Fabales; Fabaceae. The record is from RNAcentral.